AUUGAACGCUGGCGGCAUGCCUUACACAUGCAAGUCGAACGGCAGCACGGGUGCUUGCACCUGGUGGCGAGUGGCGAACGGGUGAGUAAUACAUCGGAACAUGUCCUGUAGUGGGGGAUAGCCCGGCGAAAGCCGGAUUAAUACCGCAUACGAUCUACGGAUGAAAGCGGGGGACUUUCGGGCUUCGCGCUUUGGGGUUGGCCGAUGGCUGAUUAGCUAGUUGGUGGGGUAAAGGCCUACCAAGGCGACGAUCAGUAGCUGGUCUGAGAGGACGACCAGCCACACUAGGACUGAGACACGGCCCAGACUCCUACGGGAGGCAGCAGUGGGGAAUUUUGGACAAUGGGCGAAAGCCUGAUCCAGCAAUGCCGCGUGUGUGAAGAAGGCCUUCGGGUUGUAAAGCACUUUUGUCCGGAAAGAAAUCCUUGGCUCUAAUACAGCCGGGGGAUGACGGUACCGGAAGAAUAAGCACCGGCUAACUACGUG
RNAcentral lists this ribosomal RNA (486 nucleotides) under uncultured bacterium. Its description in RNAcentral is "partial 16S ribosomal RNA". It matches the Rfam family "Bacterial small subunit ribosomal RNA", at positions 30 to 507 of the family's 1533-position model. The record is from RNAcentral.